CUGUCCUGGGUGCACCCUCCAACACCUGGUUCCCGUGAGUGCGGUGUUCCAGCUUACAGCUCUGUUUGGUGGGGUUGUGCUGGGUUCACAUAGUGUGCCAGUGGGGGCAGGUUGUUGAAGCUAUGUUAGGGCCAGGGCUUAGGAACAGGAUGUUGCGCCCCGUUGUGCGCCACCAUUGUCUAUGCCGUUGGUCAAGUUCGGGUUAUGAUAUGAUAUGGGGCACACAACUCAGGCCCACCACCCCCUGCAU
This is a non-coding RNA of Pelobates cultripes (western spadefoot toad), 250 nucleotides long. The record is from the annotation of a GenBank genome assembly. Lineage: Eukaryota; Metazoa; Chordata; Amphibia; Anura; Pelobatidae.